Pelobates cultripes (western spadefoot toad) is the source of this 215-nucleotide non-coding RNA. The record is from the annotation of a GenBank genome assembly. Lineage: Eukaryota; Metazoa; Chordata; Amphibia; Anura; Pelobatidae.
AUCAAGAUAAUGGUUUUGUUUAAUAGGGAUUUUUAUCAAUUUUGCCAUUUUUAACAGACAAAGAAAAAUACAUGUAAAAAAGAGUUCAUUUUAAUGUUUGUAGAAAAAAAAAACCAAGUAAACACUAUAACAUAAUGAAUAAAUUAAACAAUGUUAGAAGAUUAGAAUGUUAGAUCACAAUAGUUAAAUGCUUGCAUCAAGACAGUUCCCAAGAC